RNAcentral lists this ribosomal RNA (252 nucleotides) under uncultured bacterium. RNAcentral's name for it is "partial 16S ribosomal RNA". It matches the Rfam family "Bacterial small subunit ribosomal RNA", at positions 524 to 776 of the family's 1533-position model. The record is from RNAcentral.
UACGUAGGGAGCGAGCGUUGUCCGGAAUUACUGGGUGUAAAGGGAGCGUAGGCGGGGAUGCAAGUUGGGUGUCAAAACUACCGGCUCAACUGGUAGUCGCACUCAAAACUGCAGCUCUUGAGUGAAGUAGAGGCAGGCGGAAUUCCUAGUGUAGCGAUGAAAUGCGUAGAUAUUAGGAGGAACACCAGUGGCGAAGGCGGCCUGCUGGGCUUUUACUGACGCUGAGGCUCGAAAGUGUGGGGAGCAAACAGG